UUCUUGACUUGCUCUUCAUGGCGGGCUCUCCGCGCUUUGGCGCGGCCAACCGACAUGGGGCUGUCUCUUCACUCUCCCUCCCGUCAGCAGAUCUGCCCGGGUUGGGAUGCUUGCAUCGGUUGCCUGUGUGGUUCUACCCUACUGUGGGUAGCGAAGUCGUCCCUUGAUGGAUAUCUGCUUGCCCUGCUGACAUUGUUCUGUCGCUCGGGCAGCCGAAAUGUCGGUGAGAUCCCUGUGAUGUUGCGUGGGCGAAUGCCUCGUUACCGUCACUUGGAUUUUUGCCGGCUCUCACGGAUGCUGUGCCCCAUUGUUAGCUCUGCGGGCCUCUGUCCCGCAGACUUCGGGAGGUCCCUUGCACGGAUCACUGCCCUUGCGCUCGAUCGUCAGAUCUGUGCGUGAGGGGCGUGCUGACGUGCAUGUGGAACGCCUCUCCGAUCGUAUGAGCAGCGAUUGCCGGUCCGCGUCAUGAGAAGCGCCUCCCGUCCGGGUGGGUGCUGCAAAUGACGCGGCGGCUAUCGUUUAAGACGUGC
Molecule: unclassified non-coding RNA, 530 nt
Filed under: Scirpus pendulus
Lineage: Eukaryota; Viridiplantae; Streptophyta; Magnoliopsida; Poales; Cyperaceae
Description: partial external transcribed spacer 1F
Source: RNAcentral